Bombina bombina (fire-bellied toad) is the source of this 147-nucleotide small nucleolar RNA. NCBI's taxonomy places the organism in Eukaryota, Metazoa, Chordata, Amphibia, Anura, Bombinatoridae. The record is from RefSeq and is a predicted model, not a curated record.
CUUCAGUGAUGAUACAAAACAAGUCAGAAAGGACAAACAGUGUAACGUGUUCCUGUGCAGUGUCACGUUCUGUGUUGCUGUAUAAGGUUACGCUACAUCAGUUUUGUCCUGCUCAUUGAUCGAGAUAGAGGCAUUUGUCUGAGAAGG